Triticum dicoccoides is the source of this 484-nucleotide long non-coding RNA. RefSeq lists it as uncharacterized. The record is from RefSeq and is a predicted model, not a curated record. Lineage: Eukaryota; Viridiplantae; Streptophyta; Magnoliopsida; Poales; Poaceae. The transcript is spliced from 3 exons.
AUCACCGACACAAAUGAUGUGGCUCCGUUUACUGAGGAAAAAGCUUGAAUUCUGGCUGUUGCUUGCCUCAAGCUGCUGUAGGUUACUGGAACCAUGCUGCUGCCGAGCAGCCAGAGAUCGUCUCAUUGCUGUCACCCUUCACCUUGUGUGAAGUAGAGUGGCGCCAACAAUCGGCGCCAUAUCAGUGCACCGACCUGCGACAAUGCCUGCCCCCUCCCCCCAUUGUCCUGAAUGGAAAUCAGAGAAAACAAAACCAAAGGAGAGCCACAUUGAAGCAGGAGUAAUUGGUUGCCCGGACUUGUGCAUGGAGGUCUAUGAACGUCAAGUGAUUGGAUGUGCAUUCCGGAAAAAUAAUUGAGCUUCAGCCACCACGAGAAGACUGGCAUUGACUUGAGAUGGUUUACAUUCCCUGCUCUCUCUCUCUCCUUCAGAAUUUCUAAUCUUCUCCUAGAGAACACCUUGGUGAAAACAAAACAAAAGGCGA